UGGGGAAUAUUGGACAAUGGGGGCAACCCUGAUCCAGCAAUGCCGCGUGAGUGAUGAAGGCCUUAGGGUUGUAAAGCUCUUUCGGCGGGGACGAUGAUGACGGUACCCGCAGAAGAAGCCCCGGCAAACUUCGUGCCAGCAGCCGCGGUAAUACGAAGGGGGCAAGCGUUGUUCGGAAUCACUGGGCGUAAAGGGCGCGUAGGCGGUUUACUGAGUCAGGCGUGAAAGCCCCGGGCUUAACCUGGGAACUGCGCUUGAUACUGGUAGACUUGAGUUCGGGAGAGGCGGGUGGAAUUCCCAGUGUAGAGGUGAAAUUCGUAGAUAUUGGGAAGAACACCAGUGGCGAAGGCGGCCCGCUGGACCGACACUGACGCUGAGGCGCGAAAGCGUGGGGAGCAAA
RNAcentral lists this ribosomal RNA (400 nucleotides) under uncultured bacterium. RNAcentral describes it as "bacterial SSU rRNA". It matches the Rfam family "Bacterial small subunit ribosomal RNA", at positions 355 to 772 of the family's 1533-position model. The record is from RNAcentral.